CCCGGUGUAGCGCAGAGGCAGACGCACCCCGUUCGCAUCGGGGGACACGCCGGUUCGAAUCCGGCCCCGGGC
RNAcentral lists this transfer RNA (72 nucleotides) under Kitasatospora atroaurantiaca. It matches the Rfam family "tRNA". From Rfam's summary of the family: Transfer RNA (tRNA) molecules are approximately 80 nucleotides in length. The record is from Rfam by way of RNAcentral. Lineage: Bacteria; Bacillati; Actinomycetota; Actinomycetes; Kitasatosporales; Streptomycetaceae.